This 400-nucleotide ribosomal RNA is filed under the name uncultured bacterium. Its description in RNAcentral is "bacterial SSU rRNA". It matches the Rfam family "Bacterial small subunit ribosomal RNA", at positions 355 to 745 of the family's 1533-position model. The record is from RNAcentral.
UCGAGAAUAGUCUACAAUGGUCGGAAGACUGAUAGUGCGACGCCGCGUGAACGAUGAAGCCCUUCGGGGUGUAAAGUUCUUUUAUAUGUGAGCAGUGGGUUUUACGUUAAUAGCGUGGAAUCAGGGAUAUUAGCAUAUGAAUAAGCAACGGCUAACUCCGUGCCAGCAGCCGCGGUAACACGGGGGUUGCGAGCGUUGUCCGGAAUUACUAGGCGUAAAGGGCAGGUAGGCGGAUCUAUAAGUUUUUUGUCAAAUUCAACGGCUCACCCGUUGCGCGGCAGGAGAUACUGUAGAUCUGGAAUGCGGUUGGGGAAGACAGAAUUCCUGGUGUAGCGGUGGAAUGCGCAGAGAUCAGGAGGAAUACCGAAGGCGAAGGCAGUCUUCUAAGCCGUAAUUGACG